GCGACGACGGGUAGCCGGCCUGAGAGGGUGACCGGCCACACUGGGACUGAGACACGGCCCAGACUCCUACGGGAGGCAGCAGUGGGGAAUAUUGCACAAUGGGCGGAAGCCUGAUGCAGCGACGCCGCGUGAGGGAUGACGGCCUUCGGGUUGUAAACCUCUUUCAGCAGGGAAGAAGCCACAAGUGACGGUACCUGCAGAAGAAGCGCCGGCUAACUACGUGCCAGCAGCCGCGGUAAUACGUAGGGCGCAAGCGUUGUCCGGAAUUAUUGGGCGUAAAGAGCUCGUAGGCGGUUUGUCGCGUCUGCUGUGAAAGCCCGGGGCUCAACCCCGGGUCUGCAGUGGGUACGGGCAGACUAGAGUGCAGUAGGGGAGACUGGAAUUCCUGGUGUAGCGGUGAAAUGCGCAGAUAUCAGGAGGAACACCGAUGGCGAAGGCAGGUCUCUGGGCUGUUACUGACGCUGAGGAGCGAAAGCAUGGGGAGCGAACAGGAUUAGAUACCCUGGUAGUCCAUGCCGUAAACGUUGGGSACUAGGUGUGGGGGACAUUCCACGUUCUCCGCGCCGUAGCUAACGCAUUAAGUGCCCCGCCUGGGGAGUACGG
RNAcentral lists this ribosomal RNA (603 nucleotides) under Kocuria sp. CMT100. Its description in RNAcentral is "bacterial SSU rRNA". It matches the Rfam family "Bacterial small subunit ribosomal RNA", at positions 273 to 885 of the family's 1533-position model. Lineage: Bacteria; Bacillati; Actinomycetota; Actinomycetes; Micrococcales; Micrococcaceae. The record is from RNAcentral.